GACGAACGCUGGCGGCGUGCUUAACACAUGCAAGUCGAGCGGUAAGGCCCUUUCGGGGGUACACGAGCGGCGAACGGGUGAGUAACACGUGGGUGACCUGCCCUCAGCUCUGGGAUAAGCCUGGGAAACUGGGUCUAAUACCGGAUAUGACUCCAUGACGCAUGUUGUGGGGUGGAAAGCCUUGUGCGGCUGAGGAUGGGCCCGCGGCCUAUCAGCUUGUUGGUGGGGUGANGGCCUACCAAGGCGACGACGGGUAGCCGGCCUGGGAGGGCGACCGGCCACACUGGGACUGAGACACGGCCCAGACUCCUACGGGAGGCAGCAGUGGGGAAUCUUGCGCAAUGGGCGAAAGCCUGACGCAGCGACGCCGCGUGAGGGAUGACGGCCUGUGU
This 392-nucleotide ribosomal RNA is filed under the name uncultured bacterium. Its description in RNAcentral is "bacterial SSU rRNA". It matches the Rfam family "Bacterial small subunit ribosomal RNA", at positions 28 to 421 of the family's 1533-position model. The record is from RNAcentral.